This is a long non-coding RNA of Bombyx mori (domestic silkworm), 450 nucleotides long. RefSeq lists it as uncharacterized. Lineage: Eukaryota; Metazoa; Arthropoda; Insecta; Lepidoptera; Bombycidae. The record is from RefSeq and is a predicted model, not a curated record. The transcript has 2 exons.
UUCGCAAUUAAUACUCGCUGCGAGCCAAUAAGUGUCGCACACACAUAACGAAAUAUAGUAAAUCCCCUUUCAAAGGACAUUAGAUCUUACACCGUUUAAGUGAGUGGUCAAAUUCAAAUGUGAGUUUCGAUAUUGAAUUCCAGGGCUGAGAUCUAACCCUCGUUUAUCGGACGCCGUCUGUCUGUAUCAGCAACAUAGCAUACAGCAGCAGUGAGGCUUAAUGACAACGGUUCAAUAGGAUCGAGGUCAACGAAAAAACCAUCUCGGCUGACCCUGUCUCGAAUGGAAACCGAAGACUGCCAACACCAAAAUGUAGAUGCAGUCUCCUAUUUUGUGAAGUAGCACACAAUAAAGAUGUAAGAAUACCGCUGAUCUAUGUAUGUAUGAAUACGGAAAUAGUAUGAACAGAAUAUUUACCAAUUGGGCAAAUAAAACAUGUAUUGAACUACA